Molecule: long non-coding RNA, 321 nt
Filed under: Drosophila guanche
Lineage: Eukaryota; Metazoa; Arthropoda; Insecta; Diptera; Drosophilidae
Source: RNAcentral
UUAAAGAAAAAGAAAAAAUAGUUUAUUUAACAAACGAAAAAACUGAUACAAAAAACCCAAAACUCGAUUUAAAAAAUGUUAUUAAAGCUAAACAAACGUAAAAAUUUGAAAGUAACUUUCAAUGAAAUAUGAGCAGAAUACGAUAAAGGGAAGGAAAACAAAGAAAACGAGGCAGAAACCCCCUAUAAAAAGAAUUCUUUUUAAAGUGUAAGAAUUUAAAAUGUGCAAACAAAACAAAAUCUAAAGAAUGAAUGCGAAUCGAAGCAAGAAAGAAAGAAAAAAGAAAAACUGAAAAAGAAUAAAACUAAAAGAAAACUAAAG